This 21-nucleotide small nuclear RNA is filed under the name Arabidopsis thaliana (thale cress). Its description in RNAcentral is "snRNA_15534". The record is from RNAcentral. Lineage: Eukaryota; Viridiplantae; Streptophyta; Magnoliopsida; Brassicales; Brassicaceae.
UUAUAGAAAAGUCUCUAACAA